AUUGAACGCUGGCGGCAGGCCUAACACAUGCAAGUCGAGCGAGCGGCGGACGGGUGAGUAAUGUCUGGGAAACUGCCUGAUGGAGGGGGAUAACUACUGGAAACGGUAGCUAAUACCGCAUACCAUCAGAUGUGCCCAGAUGGGAUUAGCUUGUUGGUGGGGUAAGGGCUCACCAAGGCGACGAUCCCUAGCUGGUCUGAGAGGAUGACCAGCCACACUGGAACUUAGACACGGUCCAGACUCCUACGGGAGGCAGCAGUGGGGAAUAUUGCACAAGGGGCGCAAGCCUGAUGCAGCCAUGCCGCGUGUAUAAAGAAGGCCUUCGGGUUGUAAAGCACUUUCAGCGGGGAGGCGUUACACGCAGAAGAAGCACCGGCUAACUCCGUGCCAGCAGCCGCGGUAAUUC
RNAcentral lists this ribosomal RNA (406 nucleotides) under uncultured bacterium. RNAcentral describes it as "partial 16S ribosomal RNA". It matches the Rfam family "Bacterial small subunit ribosomal RNA", at positions 30 to 526 of the family's 1533-position model. The record is from RNAcentral.